CCCUUAGAUGUUCUGGGCCGCACGCGCGCUACACUGACUGGUGCAACAAGUGUCGCUCCUUGGCCGAUAGGCCUGGGCAAUCUUUGAACGCCAGUCGUGAUGGGGAUAGAUUCUUGCAAUUUUUGAUCUUCAACGAGGAAUUCCUAGUAAACGCGAGUCAUCAACUCGCAUUGAUUACGUCCCUGCCCUUUGUACACACCGCCCGUCGCACCUACCGAUUGAAUGGUCCGGUGAACCCUCCGGAUCGGCCCGCGCCAACGCAAGUUGAGCAAAGGCCGAGAAGUUGGGUAAACCUUACCAUUUAGAGGAAAGUGAAGUCGUAACA
RNAcentral lists this ribosomal RNA (325 nucleotides) under uncultured eukaryote. RNAcentral describes it as "partial 18S ribosomal RNA". It matches the Rfam family "Eukaryotic small subunit ribosomal RNA", at positions 1470 to 1796 of the family's 1831-position model. The record is from RNAcentral.